UAGGUGGGGUAACGGCUCACCUAGGCGACGAUCCCUAGCUGGUCUGAGAGGAUGACCAGCCACACUGGAACUGAGACACGGUCCAGACUCCUACGGGAGGCAGCAGUGGGGAAUAUUGCACAAUGGGCGCAAGCCUGAUGCAGCCAUGCCGCGUGUAUGAAGAAGGCCUUCGGGUUGUAAAGUACUUUCAGCGGGGAGGAAGGGAGUAAAGUUAAUACCUUUGCUCAUUGACGUUACCCGCAGAAGAAGCACCGGCUAACUCCGUGCCAGCAGCCGCGGUAAUACGGAGGGUGCAAGCGUUAAUCGGAAUUACUGGGCGUAAAGCGCACGCAGGCGGUUUGUUAAGUCAGAUGUGAAAUCCCCGGGCUCAACCUGGGAACUGCAUCUGAUACUGGCAAGCUUGAGUCUCGUAGAGGGGGGUAGAAUUCCAGGUGUAGCGGUGAAAUGCGUAGAGAUCUGGAGGAAUACCGGUGGCGAAGGCGGCCCCCUGGACGAAGACUGACGCUCAGGUGCGAAAGCGUGGGGAGCAAACAGGAUU
Molecule: ribosomal RNA, 538 nt
Filed under: Escherichia coli
Lineage: Bacteria; Pseudomonadati; Pseudomonadota; Gammaproteobacteria; Enterobacterales; Enterobacteriaceae
Also listed under: 1 other name
Description: bacterial SSU rRNA
Rfam family: Bacterial small subunit ribosomal RNA
Source: RNAcentral